AAAAUAAGGUUGGAGACGCCGGCUGGCGCCCGGCCGGCCCUAAUCGAGCGGGUGACAAAGCCCCAUACGCUCGAGGACCGGACACGGUGCCGCCGCUGCCUUUCGGGCCCGUCCCCCGGGGGGGACGACGACCCAACACACAAGCCGGGCUUGAGGGCAGCAAUGACGCUCGGACAGGCAUGCCCCCCGGAAUGCCAGGGGGCGCAAUGUGCGU
RNAcentral lists this ribosomal RNA (214 nucleotides) under Aspergillus nidulans. RNAcentral describes it as "partial 18S ribosomal RNA". The record is from RNAcentral. Lineage: Eukaryota; Fungi; Ascomycota; Eurotiomycetes; Eurotiales; Aspergillaceae.